This is a small nucleolar RNA of Laticauda laticaudata (blue-ringed sea krait), 78 nucleotides long. The record is from Ensembl. Lineage: Eukaryota; Metazoa; Chordata; Lepidosauria; Squamata; Elapidae.
UUGCAGUGAUGUUUGAAUUUCUUCACCUGACUCCCCCGUGGAGAGCAAAACUAAACGAGCUUUUUAACACUGAGCGAU